RNAcentral lists this ribosomal RNA (482 nucleotides) under uncultured bacterium. RNAcentral's name for it is "partial 16S ribosomal RNA". It matches the Rfam family "Bacterial small subunit ribosomal RNA", at positions 30 to 507 of the family's 1533-position model. The record is from RNAcentral.
AUUGAACGCUGGCGGCAUGCCUUACACAUGCAAGUCGAACGGUAACGGGCCUUCGGGUGCCGACGAGUGGCGAACGGGUGAGUAAUACAUCGGAACGUGCCCGAUCGUGGGGGAUAACGAGGCGAAAGCUUUGCUAAUACCGCAUACGAUCUACGGAUGAAAGCAGGGGACCGCAAGGCCUUGCGCGGACGGAGCGGCCGAUGGCAGAUUAGGUAGUUGGUGGGAUAAAAGCUUACCAAGCCGACGCUCUGUAGCUGGUCUGAGAGGAUGAUCAGCCACACUGGGACUGAGACACGGCCCAGACUCCUACGGGAGGCAGCAGUGGGGAAUUUUGGACAAUGGGCGCAAGCCUGAUCCAGCCAUGCCGCGUGCGGGAUGAAGGCCUUCGGGUUGUAAGCUGCUUUUGUACGGAACGAAAAGCCUUCUUUUAAUACAGGAGGGUCAUGACGGUACCGUAAGAAUAAGCACCGGCUAACUACGUG